Molecule: long non-coding RNA, 182 nt
Organism: Melanotaenia boesemani (Boeseman's rainbowfish)
Lineage: Eukaryota; Metazoa; Chordata; Actinopteri; Atheriniformes; Melanotaeniidae
Exons: 3
Source: RefSeq, a predicted model, not a curated record
UUUUUUCUUCUUAAAAUUGUCAUUAUGUACACAGGUUCCUGCUUAUAAGCUUUAGGUAGCUUCCUAAGGAGACCUGAUUUAUACACGAUCCUGGCUAAGCCAUAUGAAAAGGUGUAGAACAUGUGAAUAUGGAUGUGUGUAUGAAUAAAUAAAUGAAAUGAAAUGAACUUGUGAAUGUGGCU